Molecule: ribosomal RNA, 1001 nt
Filed under: uncultured bacterium
Lineage: Bacteria
Description: bacterial SSU rRNA
Rfam family: Bacterial small subunit ribosomal RNA
Source: RNAcentral
UGGGGAAUAUUGCACAAUGGGGGAAACCCUGAUGCAGCGACGCCGCGUGGAGGAAGAAGGUCUUCGGAUUGUAAACUCCUGUCUUAAGGGACGAUAAUGACGGUACCUUAGGAGGAAGCUCCGGCUAACUACGUGCCAGCAGCCGCGGUAAUACGAAGGGGGCGAGCGUUGUUCGGAAUUACUGGGCGUAAAGGGUGUGUAGGUGGACGUGUAAGAUAGCGGUGAAAUGCCGGAGCUCAACUUCGGAAUUGCCAUUAUAACUAUGCGUCUAGAAUUAUAGAGAGGAUAGCGGAAUACCCAGUGUAGAGGUGAAAUUCGUAGAUAUUGGGUAGAACACCAGUGGCGAAGGCGGCUAUCUGGCUAUAUAUUGACACUGAGGCACGAAAGCAUGGGGAUCAAACAGGAUUAGAUACCCUGGUAGUCCAUGCCGUAAACGAUGAAUGCUGGUUGUCGGACGAAUGUUCGGUGACGAAGUUAACGCGAUAAGCAUUCCGCCUGGGGAGUACGGCCGCAAGGUUAAAACUCAAAGGAAUUGACGGGGACCCGCACAAGCGGUGGAGCAUGUGGUUUAAUUCGAUGCAACGCGAAGAACCUUACCAACUCUUGACAUCCUCAUCGGGGAGGACAGAGAUGUCUUCUUUCAGUUAGGCUGGAUGAGUGACAGAUGCUGCAUGGCUGUCGUCAGCUCGUGUCGUGAGAUGUUGGGUUAAGUCCCGCAACGAGCGCAACCCCUGCUACCAGUUGCCAUCAGGUAACGCUGGGCACUCUGGUAGGACUGCCGGUGACAAGCCGGAGGAAGGUGGGGAUGACGUCAAGUCAUCAUGGCUCUUACGAGUUGGGCUACACACGUGCUACAAUGGCACCUACAGAGGGAAGCGAGAUCGCGAGGUCGAGCGAAUCUUAAAAAGGUGUCUCAGUUCAGAUUGUACUCUGCAACUCGAGUACAUGAAGUUGGAAUCGCUAGUAAUCGCGGAUCAGCAUGCCGCGGUGAAUACGUUCCC